CACUGUAAGACGCGAUAAGACGCCAUUGUAUUUGUGAUAAGUGACAAUCACAUACUGUUAAUGCUUUCAAUUGAUUGUCAUUUUGUAUUUUAAUAUUUAGUAAUUGUUGUUUUCAAAAGCCAUCAGUAGUGAAUCAGUUUUAUCGUGAUUUUUUUACAAUUAACCUUUGAGUAGGAAGGUUAUUUUGUAUAUACGAAAUGGGUGAAGAUAACGCAUCUCAAGAUAGUGCACCUCAAGCUCAACAGAAUAAUGCAAAGGAGAAAAGUAAUAAUGAUAACGCACACUCUGGUCCAGGAGGUGGUGGAGGACCUGGAAAUCAAGGAUUUGGAGGUGGACGUGGUGGCGGCGGCGUCGGCGGCGUCGGCGGCCGUGGAGGAGGAGGUCCUGGAGGACAUCGUAGAGGUGGUUCUCGAUUCUCCGGUGGUCGCGGUGGAGGACAAGGUGGAAGAAACGAUGGAAUGAAAAUGAAUGACGGAAUGGAUGGUGGAAAUUCUGAGGGAAUGGGAGGAAUGGGGGGAGGUAAUAAUAUGGGUGGUCGUGGUGGAAUGCGUGGUAGAGGACGAGGAGGAGGUGGUGGAGGAGGUCCUGGUGGUCCUGGAGGUGAUCGAGGAAAUAUGAUGAAUCGUUCGCAAGACGAUCGAUUAUUGGAUCGUAUUAUGAGUUUAAAUGGACCAACACAUGAAUUACCGCCACAAGACACAACGGAGAAGAAAUUCUCCGGUAGAAAUCGUCUUUAUUUGGGAAACUUGACCAAUGACGUGACAGAUGAGGAAAUUCAACAAUUAUUUUCGCCAUAUGGUGAAGUUUCUGAAAUUUUCAUUAACAAAGAAAAGAAUUUUGCGUUUUUAAAAAUGGACUAUCGUUUGAAUGCUGAAAAAGCAAAGCGUGAAUUAGAUGCAUCGCCUCGUAAAGGUCGCGCUUUAAAAGUACGAUUUGCUCCAAGCUCAGUGACUGUUAAAGUUAAGAAUCUUACACCAUGGGUUUCAAAUGAACUUCUUGAACGUGCAUUUAGUGUUUUUGGUGAUAUUGAACGUGCUAUUGUAAUAGUCGAUGAAAGAGGCAAAUCAUCAGGUGAAGGUAUCGUUGAAUUUGCUAGAAAACCAUGCGCACAACAAGCAAUUAGAAAAUGUACAGAUGGUUGUUACUUCCUCACCGCAUCAUUACGACCAGUGGUGGCUGAAAUUUUCGAACCACAAGACGAUAUUGACGGUUAUCCUGACAAAAAUUUACCAAAGAAACAUCCAGAUUUUUAUUCAUCUCGCGAAGUUGGACCUCGUUUUGCUCAGAUUGGUAGUUUUGAGCAUGAAUAUGGCACAAGAUGGAAACAAUUACACGAGUUGUACAAGCAAAAGGAGGAAGCAUUGAAAAGAGAGAUGGUAAUGGAAGAAGAGAAGCUGGAAGCUCAGAUGGAAUUCGCCAGAUACGAGCACGAAACUGAAGUCCUUCGAGAACAAUUACGCAUGAGAGAAGCUGACAGAGAUAGACAAAAGAGAGAAUGGGAAAUGAAGGAGAGACAAGCUGAAGAACAAAGAACACGCGAAGAAGAAAUGAGAAGAAGACAACAAGAUGAAAUGUCUAUGCGCAUUAGAAAGCAAGAAGAAGAACUGCACAGAAGACAACAAGAAAAUAAUCUAUUUAUGCAGGAACAAGCAAUGAGAGGUGGAAAAAAUUACGAUUCAGUUAGUAACAAUGAUGAUGCUGCAGGCAACUUACCAGUGGAUAAAUCCAUCAUUUUCAAGAAGAAAUAUGAUGAAGAUGAUAGUGACAAUGAAGAAAUAGAGGAAGAAGAAGAUGAAGAUGCUGAUGAGAUGCAAAAGGGAUUCACUGUCAAUGUUCGUUUAGAUUCUUUAUCAUAUGGAACUGUUGAUCUAAAACUUGAAAAUGUUUUUCUUCAUAAAAUUCAAAUAUUUUAAUGAAUAAUGAAGAUGAGAUGAAAAUAAGUGAAAGAAAUCAUGAAAAAAUCAUCAGAAUGAAUGAACAUUCAUUUGACUGAUUUUAUCAACAGUUUUUGGAUUCCUGAUGAUGAUAAUGAUGAUUCAAAAGAGGCGAAUUGUGAAAAUUUCUUCAAUUUUUUCAAGUUAUAAAAAUUCAACUUGAGCAGAUUUUCGAGAACGAAUAUUUUGAAUAUUUUUUUUACUAAGUUUAUUGUACCUGGCAAGAGAGAAAAAAAUGUCAAGUGAUAUUGAAAAUAAAAUGAAAUAUAUAUUUUCUUAUAUAAUAAUAAUCA
This is an RNA transcript of Leptopilina boulardi, 2227 nucleotides long. It is a transcript of the gene named hrp65 protein-like, with no coding region annotated. Lineage: Eukaryota; Metazoa; Arthropoda; Insecta; Hymenoptera; Figitidae. The record is from RefSeq and is a predicted model, not a curated record. The transcript is spliced from 10 exons.